RNAcentral lists this ribosomal RNA (468 nucleotides) under uncultured bacterium. RNAcentral's name for it is "partial 16S ribosomal RNA". It matches the Rfam family "Bacterial small subunit ribosomal RNA", at positions 28 to 507 of the family's 1533-position model. The record is from RNAcentral.
GACGAACGCUGGCGGCGCGCCUAACACAUGCAAGUCGAACGGAGUCACGAGGAGCUUGCUUUUCUUGACUUAGUGGCGAACGGGUGAGUAACGCGUGAGUAACCUGCCCUGGAGUGGGGGACAACAGUUGGAAACGACUGCUAAUACCGCAUAAGCCCACGGAUCUGCAUGGAUCUGCGGGAAAAGGAUUUAUUCGCUCUAGGAUGGACUCGCGUCCAAUUAGCUAGUUGGUGAGGUAACGGCCCACCAAGGCGACGAUUGGUAGCCGAACUGAGAGGUUGAACGGCCACAUUGGGACUGAGACACGGCCCAGACUCCUACGGGAGGCAGCAGUGGGGGAUAUUGCACAAUGGGGGAAACCCUGAUGCAGCGACGCCGCGUGGAGGAAGAAGGUUUUCGGAUUGUAAACUCCUGUCGUGAGGGACGAUAAUGACGGUACCUAACAAGAAAGCACCAGCUAACUACGUG